GAGGGAAUAUUGGUCAAUGGGCUUACGCCUGAACCAGCCAAGUCGCGUGAGGGAAGACUGCCCUAUGGGUUGUAAACCUCUUUUAUGCGGGGAUAAAGGCGUCCACGUGUGGAUGUUUGCAGGUACCGCAUGAAUAAGGACCGGCUAACUCC
Molecule: ribosomal RNA, 152 nt
Filed under: uncultured bacterium
Lineage: Bacteria
Description: partial 16S ribosomal RNA
Rfam family: Bacterial small subunit ribosomal RNA
Source: RNAcentral